Molecule: ribosomal RNA, 483 nt
Filed under: uncultured bacterium
Lineage: Bacteria
Description: partial 16S ribosomal RNA
Rfam family: Bacterial small subunit ribosomal RNA
Source: RNAcentral
AUUGAACGCUGGCGGCAGGCCUAACACAUGCAAGUCGAGCGGAUGAAGGGAGCUUGCUCCUGGAUUCAGCGGCGGACGGGUGAGUAAUGCCUAGGAAUCUGCCUGGUAGUGGGGGAUAACGUCCGGAAACGGGCGCUAAUACCGCAUACGUCCUGAGGGAGAAAGUGGGGGAUCUUCGGACCUCACGCUAUCAGAUGAGCCUAGGUCGGAUUAGCUAGUUGGUGGGGUAAAGGCCUACCAAGGCGACGAUCCGUAACUGGUCUGAGAGGAUGAUCAGUCAAACUGGAGUUGAAAAACGGUCCAGGACCCUAGGGGGGGCAGCAGGGGGGAAUUUGGGAAAAGGGGGGAAAGCCUGAACCAGCCAUGCCGGGGUGGUGAAGAAGGUCUGCGGAUUGUAAAGCAUUUUAAGUUGGGAGGAAGGGCAGCAAGUUAAACCCUUGCUGUUUGGACGUCACCAACAAAAUAAGCACCGGCUAACUGCGG